CUCUGAAAUAUGGCCAAACUGGUGGCAAGUGGCAUCGUGGCAGCUGCACGCUUGACUUUUCUCAGUUCAUGGGCCGUUAUUUUGCGCCUUGGUUUUUCCACACGCUUCUUGCGACCCUGUUGACUAUUUUGAAUGAAACGCUUGAUUGUUCGAUGAUCACGCUUCAGAAGCUUUGCAAUUUUAAGAGUGCUGCAUCCCUCUGCAAGAUAUCUCACUAUUUUUGACUUUUCUGAGCCUGUCAAGUCCUUCUUUUGACCCAUUUUGCCAAAGGAA
Molecule: long non-coding RNA, 273 nt
Filed under: Pelobates cultripes (western spadefoot toad)
Lineage: Eukaryota; Metazoa; Chordata; Amphibia; Anura; Pelobatidae
Source: RNAcentral